GUGACAUCAAACCUCUUUCUCGCAUUUCUUCUAUUCCUCUCUCUCUCUCUUUCUCCUUCUGCAUACGGUUACAGGCUAUCAAUCGUAAUUUGAAUCCUCUGAAGCAGAUCCCAUAUUCAACAUGCUUCGUUUUCUGGUUUUCUCCGAUCUAUCAAUGGAUUCCGAUUCUCAGUUUCCCCGCGGGAACCGAUUCUCUCAUCGAAGUUCGUUUCUGAGCUGCAUUCAUGCGCCAACCUUGCUUGCUUGAUUCGCUACUCGCAGCUUCGGUGUAUCGUGGAUUCCGCUUUCAUGGAACGAGUUGCCGGGAUUUUAGUCUCCGCCUACACCGGCGAGGUGUUUUCAUCUCCUGAAUCCGUUUGGUUGCCGAGAAGCUGCGAGAAAAUAAAGGGAAACUGCAAAGCGCUUGCCUCAGUUUUACUCUAACGCAAUUUAUCUGGAGUACAAUGUGGUUCUUAAUUAUUAUUGGCGGGUGCUCUCAAGUUUGCCACGGAUGGUACAACAUUCUUCACUUUGUUGGUUUUCUCUUCAUGCCUGAAGCGACCAUUUGGAUCUGAAUGAUUCAAUUUUAUUGGAUUUAGGAAAGCAUCAAAAUUAAAAUGAGUCCAUUUUUCUUGAUAGCAAUCAAGAAGCACUUAUCUCCUGUAAAUGCGUCAGUGCAAUUGCAAUCUGCUGCAAUCAAAACAAAUCUGAUGUCAAUGCAUUUGCAUCAUGAUCAAUGGUCUACCAACUAAAUGAUCAAAGAUCAUACCCUAAUUUUGUAGUUCCUGAAGGUGACUCGUAAUGUUGUUGCUGUGGCUGGCUUAGUUGGAGAUUCACAGGACUAUUGGACUAGCUCUAAUUAAGAAGUGUGAUGGAUGUCUUACAAGAUGCUUUGCUUUGAAGGUAAUUUUUUUUUUGGGUAAACAGAAUGUAAUUUUUAAAGCUAUGGUUGUAAGAUCCCUGGAUCUUUAUUUUUGUCCUUACGGUGGGCAAAGGGAUUUUGAUGCAGCCAUGUGCACUGAUGGUGCAAUUCAUUAUAAUGCCAGCAUGAAGGGGUGAUUUUUGCAUUUGUUGCAUAAGUUGAAGGGAAUAUAGGGAAGAAAUAUUAGUGCUGAGCCACGUGAUGAUUGGUUGUUGGUGGAGCUGUUGGCAUUACUACACAAACAUAUUAACAGGUUUCAAAUUCUCAAUGCUUCAGUCCCUUCUUUCAAAUAAUGAAGGUGACUGAUGUGAGAAUUAGGAUUGAUAUGUGGCUGUUGUAUGAUGUGAGCAGUGGAAAACAAGCACAUUUAAAGAUCUGGAGUGAUGAGUAAUCCGGAAGUGUGUGAAAUAGUUUGGUAGAAGGAACGGAGUUUGGGAUAAAUAACAGUAAGAAAGGCCCCCCUCCAAAAUUUUAAAGAGAGAAGCUUGGCUGGUGAAUUAUAAAAUAUUAUUUCCUUAUAAUGUCGCCUAGAUAAAGCUAAAAUCAAUUAUUUGUAUUAAUGGUACGUACAAGCUUAAGGCAUGUAACUCUUGCAACUCAAAAGUGUACAUCGACAUAAUGUGUAUUACUAAGGAUAAUGAACAGUUUCUUAUUAGCCAUAAGGAAAUGUUUGGAUUCGUAAACGAAGUAAAGAACCAUGAAUUUUUCCUGGGUUGAGUCAUUUGAAGGUUAUAUAUAACGC
Molecule: long non-coding RNA, 1643 nt
Organism: Gastrolobium bilobum
Lineage: Eukaryota; Viridiplantae; Streptophyta; Magnoliopsida; Fabales; Fabaceae
Exons: 5
Source: RefSeq, a predicted model, not a curated record